RNAcentral lists this ribosomal RNA (305 nucleotides) under uncultured bacterium. RNAcentral's name for it is "bacterial SSU rRNA". It matches the Rfam family "Bacterial small subunit ribosomal RNA", at positions 335 to 654 of the family's 1533-position model. The record is from RNAcentral.
GAUCCUACGGGGGGCAGCAGUGGGGAAUAUUGGGCAAUGGGCGCAAGCCUGACCCAGCAACGCCGCGUGAAGGAAGAAGGCCCUCGGGUUGUAAACUUCUUUUAUCAAGGACGAAACAAAUGACGGUACUUGAUGAAUAAGCCACGGCUAACUACGUGCCAGUAGCCGCGGUAAUACGGAGGGUGCGAGCGUUAAUCGGAAUUACUGGGCGUAAAGCGCUCGUAGGCGGUAUGUCAAGUCAAGGGUGAAAUCCCCGCGCUCAACGUGGGAACUGCCUUUGAAACUGGCAAACUGGAGUGUGUGAG